GAAUCCACGAACUCAAACCUCUCUUCUAUCUUCUUUGGAUCUCGCGCACACCAACGGGUUGUCCACACCCUCACGUUCGAAUCCACGAACGCCACGUCCCGAGUCCACGAAACGCCAACACUUCGAAUCCACGAAGCUUCAACACAUCGAAUCCACGACGCCCACUCAAAUCCUCGAGUGCACUCCGUCCGAAGCAAGAACAAUACGUUCGAUGAUGAUUUAUUGCUUAGAAUUUCAUU
Molecule: long non-coding RNA, 239 nt
Filed under: Ananas comosus (pineapple)
Lineage: Eukaryota; Viridiplantae; Streptophyta; Magnoliopsida; Poales; Bromeliaceae
Description: long non-coding RNA (ACOM_LNC002264)
Source: RNAcentral